This 548-nucleotide ribosomal RNA is filed under the name Salmonella enterica. RNAcentral's name for it is "bacterial SSU rRNA". It matches the Rfam family "Bacterial small subunit ribosomal RNA", at positions 997 to 1533 of the family's 1533-position model. Lineage: Bacteria; Pseudomonadati; Pseudomonadota; Gammaproteobacteria; Enterobacterales; Enterobacteriaceae. The record is from RNAcentral.
AAUCCAGAGAUGGAUUUGUGCCUUCGGGAACUGUGAGACAGGUGCUGCAUGGCUGUCGUCAGCUCGUGUUGUGAAAUGUUGGGUUAAGUCCCGCAACGAGCGCAACCCUUAUCCUUUGUUGCCAGCGAUUAGGUCGGGAACUCAAAGGAGACUGCCAGUGAUAAACUGGAGGAAGGUGGGGAUGACGUCAAGUCAUCAUGGCCCUUAUGACCAGGGCUACACACGUGCUACAAUGGCGCAUACAAAGAGAAGCGACCUCGCGAGAGCAAGCGGACCUCAUAAAGUGCGUCGUAGUCCGGAUUGGAGUCUGCAACUCGACUCCAUGAAGUCGGAAUCGCUAGUAAUCGUGGAUCAGAAUGCCACGGUGAAUACGUUCCCGGGCCUUGUACACACCGCCCGUCACACCAUGGGAGUGGGUUGCAAAAGAAGUAGGUAGCUUAACCUUCGGGAGGGCGCUUACCACUUUGUGAUUCAUGACUGGGGUGAAGUCGUAACAAGGUAACCGUAGGGGAACCUGCGGUUGGAUCACCUCCUUACCUUAAAGAAGC